GCUGCCCGAUUCUUGAACUGCUGGACAAAACCAGUUAGGCCUUCCGACUUACUCAGUUGAACUUUCAUUUUUUUAAUAAAAGUGAAAUGAAACAGAUGAACUUCAUUGAAAGUCCACUUUUGUGUCAAAUCCACAAGAGAACAAGAAAUUCAAGUGAUGGGGAAGCACAAGCACAUACUCUUUGCCGCCACCUGAAGAUUCCAAGCAAACUCUGAAUGUACAGCCAGAGCUCUCCACUCGGGGGUACCAGGACUGUUGAGUUUAAUUCACAGACCCCAGCUACAGAACAGAAGAACAGAAGAAAAGGGCCUGAAGACGUCAGCCAAAGCUGGACCUCAGGCGGCUGAGACUGUC
Molecule: long non-coding RNA, 354 nt
Organism: Herpailurus yagouaroundi (jaguarundi)
Lineage: Eukaryota; Metazoa; Chordata; Mammalia; Carnivora; Felidae
Exons: 3
Source: RefSeq, a predicted model, not a curated record